GGGUCAGUAGGUUGGUCGUGCCACCGGUACGUAUUGGUCUCACUGACUCCUCCUUCCUGAGGAACCGUAAUGCCAUUAAUUUGGUGUUGCGGGGAAACAGGACUGUUACUUUGAAAAAAUUAGAGUGUUUAAAGCAAGCUAACGCUUGAAUACAUUAGCAUGGAAUAAUGAAAUAGGACGAUCGAUCCUAUUUUGUUGGUUUCUAGGAUUGACGUA
RNAcentral lists this ribosomal RNA (216 nucleotides) under Glomeromycotina sp. Its description in RNAcentral is "partial small subunit ribosomal RNA". The stretch from base 75 to 216 matches the Rfam family "Eukaryotic small subunit ribosomal RNA", at positions 721 to 864 of the family's 1831-position model. The record is from RNAcentral. Lineage: Eukaryota; Fungi; Glomeromycota.